UAAUACCGGAUAUUAUGAGAUUCUCGCAUGGGAAACUUAUGAAAGCUAUAUGCGCCAAGAGAGAGCCUUGCGUUCCAUUAGCUAGUUGGUGGGGUAACGGCCCACCAAGGCGACGAUGGAUAGCCGGCCUGAGAGGGUGAACGGCCACAAGGGGACUGAGACACGGCCCUUACUCCUACGGGAGGCAGCAGUGGGGAAUAUUGGACAAUGGGCCACAAGCCUGAUCCAGCAAUUCUGUGUGCACGAUGAAGGUCUUCGGAUUGUAAAGUGCUUUCAGUUGGGAAGAAGAAAGUGACGGUACCAACAGAAGAAGCGACGGCUAAAUACGUGCCAGCAGCCGCGGUAAUACGUAUGUCGCAAGCGUUAUCCGGAUUUAUUGGGCGUAAAGCGCGUCUAGGCGGAAAAAUAAGUCUGAUGUUAAAAUGCGGGGCUCAACUCCGUAUUGCGUUGGAAACUGUUUUUCUAGAGUACUGGAGAGGUGGGCGGAACUACAAGUGUAGAGGUGAAAUUCGUAGAUAUUUGUAGGAAUGCCGAUGGAGAAGUCAGCUCACUGGACAGAUACUGACGCUAAAGCGCGAAAGCGUGGGGAGCAAACAGG
Molecule: ribosomal RNA, 598 nt
Filed under: uncultured bacterium
Lineage: Bacteria
Description: bacterial SSU rRNA
Rfam family: Bacterial small subunit ribosomal RNA
Source: RNAcentral